GUCAUUGGUGAUUCAUAAUAACUUCUCGAAUCGCACGGCUUGCGCCGGGGAUGCUUCAUUCAAAUAUCUGGCCCUAUCAACUUUCGAUGGUAGGAUAGAGACCUACCAUGGUUUUGACGGGUAACGGGGAAUCAAGGGUUCGAUUCCUGGAGAGGGAGCCUGAGAAACGGCUACCAAUCCACGGAAGGCAGCAGGCGCGCAAAAUUACCCAAUCCCGACACGGGGAGGUAGUGACAAUAAAUAACAAUAUAGGGCCCUUUCGGGUCCUAUAAUUGGAAUGAGUACAAUUUAAAUCCGUUAAACGAGGAACAAUUGGAGGGCAAGUCUGGUGCCAGAAGACUGGGUAAUUCCAGAUCCAAUAGCGUAUAUUAAAGUUGUUGCAAGUUAAAAAUG
Molecule: ribosomal RNA, 393 nt
Filed under: uncultured fungus
Lineage: Eukaryota; Fungi
Description: SSU rRNA
Rfam family: Eukaryotic small subunit ribosomal RNA
Source: RNAcentral